AUGACGUCCGCCACAGCCCCGGUCAUGAAGGUGAGUGGAUCGAAGGUGGAGCGAUACUUGCAAUCCGUGGUGAUGGACAUGUAUGCAAAUAAUCGGACUAAGAUUAGAUGUCCGUGUACAAGAUGCAAAGAAGGAGUCCUUUUGGACCCUUUUGAUCGUGGCACUUUGAAGGCGCACCUGCUAAUGAAUGGUUUCAUGGAUGGCUAUACUCGAUGGAUAAGUGAAGAUGAUGAUGAGGACGUCCACAUGGCAGGGAGUAACGACAUGGGUCUAGACGAAGAGAUGACCGAUCAACACAAAGACGAUGGCGCCGGACAUGGUGGCAAGGAAGAGUCCGGACAUGGCGGCGGUGGAGAAGAGUUCGGACGCGGCGAAGAAGAGUCCGGACACGGUGAAGAAGAGUCCGGACAUGGCGGAGAAGAGGUGGCGGUCGCGCGGCAGUCUUCGAUGCUACUAAGUGCAGUCGUGCACGACCCUCGUGUUCGAGACCUCCUUCGCAAGAGUACGACUAGCGAGAGAGCUGCUUCUAGAGAGGAGGCCAAGCUGGCGUAA
RNAcentral lists this ribosomal RNA (552 nucleotides) under Triticum aestivum (bread wheat). RNAcentral's name for it is "partial small subunit ribosomal RNA". The record is from RNAcentral. Lineage: Eukaryota; Viridiplantae; Streptophyta; Magnoliopsida; Poales; Poaceae.